RNAcentral lists this ribosomal RNA (1019 nucleotides) under Corynebacterium diphtheriae. Its description in RNAcentral is "bacterial SSU rRNA". It matches the Rfam family "Bacterial small subunit ribosomal RNA", at positions 41 to 995 of the family's 1533-position model. The record is from RNAcentral. Lineage: Bacteria; Bacillati; Actinomycetota; Actinomycetes; Mycobacteriales; Corynebacteriaceae.
GGCGUGCUUAACGGCGGAUCGCGGGUGGAGCGGAAAGGCCUACGCUUGCUAGGUGCUGGGGUGGCGGCACGGGUGUGUACACGAACGCUGGGUGAUCUGCUUCCGUACUCUUGGGAAUAAGCCUGCGGAAACUGGGUCUAAUACCUGGAUAAGGUCCUAUUCUUUACGUGGUGUGUGGUGCGUUACAGUUUUUUCGCGCUAUCGAGGAAUGGGCCCAGCGGCCCUAUCAGCCUUGUUGGUGGGGUAAUGGCCUUACCAAGGCGUCGACGGGUAGCCGGCCUGAGAGGGUGUCCGGCCACCUUGGGACUGAGAUACGGCCCAGACUCCUACGGGAGGCAGCAGUGGGGAAUAUUGCACAAUGGGCGCAAGCCUGAUGCAGCGACGCCGCGUGAGGNGAUGACGGCCUUCGGGUUGUAAACCUCUUUCAGCUAGGGACGAAGCCUUGCCUUUUUGACUGGUGUGACUGUACUUGCAUAAGAAGCACGCGGCUAACUACUUGCCAGCAGCCGCGGUAAUACGUAGGGUGCGAGCUGUUGUCCGGAUUUAUUGGUCGUAAAGAGCUCGUAGGUGGUUUGUCGCUUCUGUCUGUGAAAUUCUCGGGGCUUAACUUCUGGGUCGUGCAGUCUAUACUCGCAGGCAUAACUUGAGUUCUGUAUGGGAGACUGGAAUUUUCCUAGUUUUAGCGGUGAGAAUGCGCAGAUUUCAGGAUGAACCACGGGUUGCGAAGGGCGGGUCUCUGGGCCGAUAACUGACGCUGAGGAGCGAAAGCUUGGGGAGCGAACAGGAUUAGAUACCCUGGUAGUCCAUGCUGUUAACGGUGGGCGCUAGGUGUGUGGCCGCAUCUUCCACGACUUGUCUGUUGCCGUAGCUCACGCAUUUAAUUCGCCCCGCCUGGGGAGUUCGGGCGCCAGGCUUAAACUCAAAAGGAAUUUACCGGGGGCCCGCACCAGCCGGCGGAGCAUGUGGCUUUAUUCCGAUGCACCGCGAAGAACCUUACCUGGGCUUGACAUAUGCCCGGA